AGUGAACGCUGGCGGUAGGCCUAACACAUGCAAGUCGAACGGCAGCACAGUAAGAGCUUGCUCUUACGGGUGGCGAGUGGCGGACGGGUGAGGAAUACAUCGGAAUCUACUUUUUCGUGGGGGAUAACGUAGGGAAACUUACGCUAAUACCGCAUACGACCUACGGGUGAAAGCAGGGGAUCUUCGGACCUUGCGCGAUUGAAUGAGCCGAUGUGGGAUUAGCUAGUUGGCGGGGUAAAGGCCCACCAAGGCGACGAUCCGUAGCUGGUCUGGGAGGAUGAUCAGCCACACUGGAACUGGGACACGGUCCAGACUCCUAAGGGAGGCAGCAGUGGGGAAUAUUGGACAAUGGGCGCAAGCCUGAUCCAGCCAUACCGCGUGGGUGAAGAAGGCCUUCGGGUUGUAAAGCCCUUUUGUUGGGAAAGAAAAGCAGCAGGUUAAUACCCCGCUGUUCUGACGGUACCCAAAGAAUAAGCACCGGCUAACUUCGUG
RNAcentral lists this ribosomal RNA (492 nucleotides) under uncultured bacterium. Its description in RNAcentral is "partial 16S ribosomal RNA". It matches the Rfam family "Bacterial small subunit ribosomal RNA", at positions 29 to 507 of the family's 1533-position model. The record is from RNAcentral.